Molecule: long non-coding RNA, 2403 nt
Filed under: Cricetulus griseus (Chinese hamster)
Lineage: Eukaryota; Metazoa; Chordata; Mammalia; Rodentia; Cricetidae
Description: lncRNA (ENSCGRG00015035161.1)
Source: RNAcentral
UGGCUUUACAAAUUUUGACCAUAGCAUUCAACCAAUUAUUAGAAUGAAAAAUCUCACCCCUCCAUAAAUAUGACAUUAACAUAAUUAUACCACCCCCAUCACAGAGACCCAUCCUCCUUAGGGAAUACAUCUGAUGCUCCAAAGAUGGAAAUCAGUCAGAUUUUUAGUUGCUCUCCAACGUACCUUUGCUUCUCACUGACUGACUGGCUUUUACCCUCCACGCACUCACACGCCACCCCCUCCCCUCGGCUAGACACGGAUGCCCGAGCGAGCACGCGCGCGCGCUCACGCUCGCCGGCAUACAGACACACGGAGAGUCAGGCUAGCAUCUGAUGCUGACUCAGAGCGCUUCUGUGUGCAAGGGGUGGCGGCGGCUGGUAUUUUCACUGCGCUCAUCAUUAACAUUAACGCACAGUCUGGCAUCCACCCUCUCCCAGACCUGCUGGACUGCGGCAUUUGCAUGACGCUGUCACUCUUGCCUCUGCAGGAAUUAGAAGACCAGCCCUGCCAGGAUCUGACUAAUCAAUGUGAUUUACACUGUGGUGAAAUGCUAAAUUGUGGACUGACAUCAACCAACAAGGACAGAACUAGCCAUCGGUGACUCUACAGCAUACAAAAAAGGCAUACAAAAGGGAAGCAAAGGACACCAUCCUCCAGCCAAUGCUGUCUGGUGCAGCAGAUAUGCCAGUUUACUCUCACAGACAUUCCCAGCAUGCAGUGCGGCGCUGCAGGACCAACUAAGGAUAUUAAAUCAUCAAUACAGAAAUAAAGAGUCAACUUCUUCAUGAGAAGAUAAAAGUUUAAAGACAAGCUAAAUCAAAAAGGACAGUUGCACAUAUGAACUCAUAAUAGCUGUAACAGCAUAAAACAAACAACCAAAAUUUAAACAAACAAACAAAAAACUUCUGUGAGAUCCAGUCAACAAUAUCCUAGAAUGAAGAAGGGAGGUUGGCUCAAGACCAUCCACAACUGAAGAACAUUUGGUAAUUGAUAGCUGCUGGGACAGGAAGAGUCAUUUGUCCUUAAGGGUGUGGUCCCUGGUUUCAGCCCUAAAAGAGCUACAAGUAAUCAAUGGUUGCUGGGAACAUGAGAAUUCAUCUUCAGGGAUGAAGCCUCUGAUAUUCUAGCCAAUCCCAAGAGAAGUUACUGAACAACCAGUCUCACCAUCCUUCAUCUCAGGGACCACUGGAUUAAGAAAAUGACACUUACGCUCUGUGCUACAUCCUCAGUUAUGUUCAUCUUUGCCUCCACCUGCAUCCAGGAUGCUUUUGACUGCAGUUAGUAUCAAUUCCAUCCAUGGAAUCUUCUCUUUUGAGCUUCCUAUUCAACCAACUUGUACCUGUGCUGUAUGAGUCAGUAAACACACAUGUACUCAGAAUGAUGGUAACUGGGCAUCGAUCACAAACCAAACAAAAAGGUUCACAAAGGCACAAAGCACUGCACCGAAGCUGGACCAAUCCUUGCCAUCAGCUGGCAGCAGAAUGGUAGACGGUGGGAGAGACCCUGAAUCCUUCCAGGCUGGGCUGACUUGAGAAAUGAGAACUGCACACGUUUGACUCCCGAACCGAAGGGGUGAAAAGGCUGGGUGCCAGUUUGCUACUCGGCUGAAAUGAUCUCAUGUUCACUGCUCUGUCGUCCUGUUCGACCAGUUCAAAUGCCUGUUCAUUAUAAACCAAAUACAUACAUAAAUAAAUAACCCAACUACUUGGAUUCUUCAGUAACCGAAAAAAAAAAGCAGAAUUUAUCAGGCGUGAAAGGGACAGCCUCCUGGUGGCCUGCCAAAAACCCAGAAUAAAGGCGAAGUUGUGCUUCAUAGCUCAGUUGCUUGCUGAGUCUGGCUAAAGUCAAGUAUUAAGAUCCACCAUUUUCUGAUCCUUGCUAGAAAAGAAGAAAAAAGUCAGGCCCGCUGCUGCUUCCAAGUCUCCGUUGGCACCAUCACAAAAUCUCAGUCGUCAGGUCACGUGAUCCUCUGCCAAAUGUAGAGUGAGUGCAUUCCCAUCAACCAUUCUGCUGAUACUGCGAAGGCAGCUAUUGUCUCGUUUAGACCCAAAGUUCAGCCCACUCUUCAUUGAAUUAGCUGAAAAACGCAUCACCUUUGGGGGCUGGGAGUCAUGGUAACGUCUACCUGGCAAGCUGCCCACUUUUUCUGCCCAUCAACCAGAGAUGGGAUUGUGCUGCCUAACGCAGUGAUGACUUGGAAUGUGAAGAGUCGUCCAAAGUGAAUCUAAUUCUUGCAACGCCUGUUUCAUUUGCACAGAAAACUCUGCCUUGUAGUUAGGGGAGGAGAGGCGUGGGGGAAUCUUUCCUACCAAAAGUAGCAAAUAAAGGUCUGAACAUGCCUACUUUGCAACUUUAUUUCUCAACACACCCAAACGGCUCUCAAAUGAGAAGACUGAACACCCU